AGGCAAGUAUUCUUUCUAAAAAUGAACAGCAGGUAAUAAUUCAAACUAGGGGAGGGAAUGAGAAAACAAUACCUUACACUGGCACAGUGUUUUAUAGUUUUUAAAAUUCUUUUUUAUUUUCUUUCUCUUUCCAGGCACCUUGCCACAUAUUGACAUUUUUUUAUUAUGGUCAACAGGCAGGAACAUGGUGUGGAAUUGAAUCUCAUUCUGUCAUCUGCAAGGAUGUGUGGCCUUGGAUCUUAGGCAAGUUACUAAUUUCUUCAAAGACACUAUUUCCUCGCUGGUGAAGGGGAAUUACUAAUGGUGCUUUCUUUACAGUAUUAUGAGGGUUGAAUUGAAUAACACAUGUAAAGCUUUCAGAACAGUGU
RNAcentral lists this long non-coding RNA (368 nucleotides) under Callithrix jacchus (white-tufted-ear marmoset). RNAcentral's name for it is "lncRNA (ENSCJAG00000084715.1)". Lineage: Eukaryota; Metazoa; Chordata; Mammalia; Primates; Cebidae. The record is from RNAcentral.